RNAcentral lists this long non-coding RNA (296 nucleotides) under Salvia miltiorrhiza (redroot sage). RNAcentral's name for it is "long non-coding RNA (SMIL_LNC004999)". The record is from RNAcentral. Lineage: Eukaryota; Viridiplantae; Streptophyta; Magnoliopsida; Lamiales; Lamiaceae.
AUCAUCAAACAAAUCCCAAAUUUCUAACUGGAUUCAAAAAAAUAAAAAUAAACAGAAAAAUCAGGUUCUUACAACGCCAAUCAUCAAGAAACCAAAGAAAAAAAGUAGUCUCAGCUCAAUGGCUACUGCAGUAGCUUCAACCUCUCUCCUCUUCUUCUCCUCUCACUCUUCUUCACCUUCAUCUUCGUCUCUCUCACCUCUCACUCGCCUCUCCUUCUCUCCAACUUCCCACCACUCCUCUCUCGCAUCAUCUCUCUCCAUUUCUCCAUCUUUUCUUGCUCUCUCCUCAAAGACUC